AGUGAACGCUGGCGGUAGGCCUAACACAUGCAAGUCGAACGGCAGCACAGUAAGAGCUUGCUCUUACGGGUGGCGAGUGGCGGACGGGUGAGGAAUACAUCGGAAUCUACUUUUUCGUGGGGGAUAACGUAGGGAAACUUACGCUAAUACCGCAUACGACCUACGGGUGAAAGCAGGGGAUCUUCGGACCUUGCGCGAUUGAAUGAGCCGAUGUCGGAUUAGCUAGUUGGCGGGGUGAAGGCCCACCAAGGCGACGAUCCGUAGCUGGUCUGAGAGGAUGAUCAGCCACACUGGAACUGAGACACGGUCCAGACUCCUACGGGAGGCAGCAGUGGGGAAUAUUGGACAAUGGGCGCAAGCCUGAUCCAGCCAUACCGCGUGGGUGAAGAAGGCCUUCGGGUUGUAAAGCCCUUUUGUUGGGAAAGAAAAGCAGCAGGUUAAUACCCCGAUGUUCUGACGGUACCCAAAGAAUAAGCACCGGCUAACUUCGUG
This 492-nucleotide ribosomal RNA is filed under the name uncultured bacterium. RNAcentral's name for it is "partial 16S ribosomal RNA". It matches the Rfam family "Bacterial small subunit ribosomal RNA", at positions 29 to 507 of the family's 1533-position model. The record is from RNAcentral.